CUCUUGGGAAGUCCUCGUGUUGCAUCCC
RNAcentral lists this ribosomal RNA (28 nucleotides) under Festuca carpatica. The record is from RNAcentral. Lineage: Eukaryota; Viridiplantae; Streptophyta; Magnoliopsida; Poales; Poaceae.